UAGUCCACGCCGUAAACGAUGAUAACUAGACGUUGGGUUCCUUAGAGGACUUAGUGUCGAAGCUAACGCGUUAAGUUAUCCGCCUGGGGAGUACGGUCGCAAGAUUAAAACUCAAAGGAAUUGACGGGGGCCCGCACAAGCGGUGGAGCAUGUGGUUUAAUUCGAUGCAACGCGAAGAACCUUACCAUCCCUUGACAUCCAGAGAAUCUGUUAGAGAUAGUAGAGUGCCUUCGGGAACUCUGAGACAGGUGCUGCAUGCCUGUCGUCAGCUCGUGUCGUGAGAUGUUGGGUUAAGUCCCGCAACGAGCGCAACCCUUAUCUUUAGUUGCCAGCACAUAAUGGUGGGGACUCUAAAGAGACUGCCGGUGACAAACCGGGAGGAAGGGUGGGGACGACGGUCAAGGUCAUCAUGGCCCUUACGGGGAUGGGGCUACACACGUGCUACAAUGGGUCGGUACAGAGGGGCUGGCAAACUCGCGAGAGUAAGCUAAUCUCAUAAAGCCGGGUCGUAGUCCGGGAUU
RNAcentral lists this ribosomal RNA (521 nucleotides) under uncultured bacterium. RNAcentral describes it as "bacterial SSU rRNA". It matches the Rfam family "Bacterial small subunit ribosomal RNA", at positions 791 to 1300 of the family's 1533-position model. The record is from RNAcentral.